RNAcentral lists this ribosomal RNA (236 nucleotides) under uncultured bacterium. RNAcentral describes it as "partial 16S ribosomal RNA". It matches the Rfam family "Bacterial small subunit ribosomal RNA", at positions 541 to 776 of the family's 1533-position model. The record is from RNAcentral.
UUGUCCGGAUUUACUGGGCGUAAAGAGCGCGCAGGCGGUCGUACAAGUCGCGUGUGAAAGCCCCCGGCUCAACUGGGGAGGGUCACGCGAUACUGUUCGACUCGAAGGCAGGAGAGGGAAGCAGAAUUCCCGGUGUAGUGGUGAAAUGCGUAGAUAUCGGGAGGAAUACCAGUGGCGAAGGCGGCUUCCUGGCCUGUUCUUGACGCUGAGGCGCGAAAGCUAGGGUAGCAAACGGG